This 918-nucleotide small RNA is filed under the name Pongo abelii (Sumatran orangutan). RNAcentral's name for it is "retained intron". Lineage: Eukaryota; Metazoa; Chordata; Mammalia; Primates; Hominidae. The record is from RNAcentral.
AACAGAUGAAGAUAGAGGCUGCAGAACGUGGGGACCGGCGAAGACGGCGUUGUGAAGCAGCCUUCAAGCUGAAAGAAAUUGCACGGCGGGAGAAACAACAACGAUGGACAAGGCGUGAACAAACAGAUUUUUAUCGAGUGGUGUCUACGUUUGGUGUGGAAUAUGACCCUGACACGAUGCAGUUCCAUUGGGAUCGCUUCCGCACUUUUGCUCGACUAGACAAAAAGACAGAUGAAAGCCUUACCAAGUACUUCCAUGGCUUUGUGGCCAUGUGCCGCCAAGUAUGCCGCCUUCCCCCAGCAGCUGGAGAUGGUAAGCAAGAUUGCAGAGUGGGUGGGGGUGAAUGCGAACAGAAGCAACUCUGUUGAUUUCUUCUACUCCUGUCUCUUGCAGAACCCCCAGACCCUAAUCUCUUCAUUGAGCCCAUCACUGAGGAGAGAGCCUCACGGACUCUCUACCGUAUAGAAUUGCUUCGGCGCUUACGGGAACAAGUUUUAUGCCACCCCCUUUUGGAAGAUCGGCUGGCAUUGUGUCAGCCUCCUGGUCCUGAAUUGCCCAAAUGGUGGGAGCCUGUUCGGCAUGAUGGGGAGCUUCUAAGAGGGGCAGCCCGCCAUGGGGUGAGCCAAACAGACUGCAACAUCAUGCAGGACCCAGACUUCUCUUUUCUGGCUGCCCGUAUGAAUUAUAUGCAGAACCAUCAAGCAGGAGCACCAGCUCCAUCCUUGUCACGCUGCUCUACUCCACUGCUGCACCAGCAGUAUACCUCACGCACUGCCUCACCAUUGCCCCUGCGCCCAGAUGCUUCUGUUGAAAAGUCACCCGAGGAGACAGCUACCCAGGUCCCCAGUCUGGAGAGUCUGACUUUAAAGCUAGAGCAUGAGGUGGUGGCCAGGAGCCGACCAACCCCACAAGACUAUG